RNAcentral lists this long non-coding RNA (339 nucleotides) under Gossypium barbadense (sea-island cotton). Its description in RNAcentral is "long non-coding RNA (GBAR_LNC015178)". Lineage: Eukaryota; Viridiplantae; Streptophyta; Magnoliopsida; Malvales; Malvaceae. The record is from RNAcentral.
UUUAAAAAGAAAAAAAAAGGGUUAAUCUUUAAAAGAGAAAAGAUGGUAAAAGUGGACCCCAAAAGGAGAUAACGGGGUGGGACCCACAGCACUUGAAAGAGCCAGCCUGCAAACCAAAAUGGUGAGCCUAAUGAUCGUGGGGCUCGACCACGCCGGACCAUUAGCCGCCACGUCCCUGAGCCCCGACAUGUUGUUCUCGUUUUGUGGGUUCCACUCUACUAUUUAUAGAAGAAGAGUAUAUUGUAAAACGGGGUGGAUACUUUUAUAUUAUAAGUUGGAUUUUAUUUUAUUUUUUUAUUAAAAUAUAAAUUAAUUUGUAUAUGUUAUAUUAAAGAGUAG